GACGAACGCUGGCGGCGUGCCUAAUACAUGCAAGUCGACCUUAGUGGCGGACGGGUGAGUAACACGUGGGAACCUACCCAUCAGAGGGGGAUAACUACUGGAAACAGUUGCUAAUACCGCAUACCAUCGGCUGUGCCCGGAUGGGAUUAGCUUGUUGGGGGGGUAACGGCUCACCAAGGCGACGAUGCGUAACUGGUCUGAGAGGAUGAUCAGUCACACUGGAACUGAGACACGGUCCAGACUCCUACGGGAGGCAGCAGUGGGGAAUAUUGGACAAUGGGCGAAAGCCUGAUCCAGCCAUGCCGCGUGAGUGAAGAAGGUCUUCGGAUUGUAAAGCACUGUAAGUAGGGAGGCGGUACCAAAAGAAUAAGCACCGGCUAACUUCGUGCCAGCAGCCGCGGUAAUUC
This 407-nucleotide ribosomal RNA is filed under the name uncultured bacterium. RNAcentral's name for it is "partial 16S ribosomal RNA". It matches the Rfam family "Bacterial small subunit ribosomal RNA", at positions 28 to 526 of the family's 1533-position model. The record is from RNAcentral.